CGGCUCAUCACAUCCUGGGGCUGUAGUAGGUCCCAAGGGUUGGGCUGUUCGCCCAUUAAAGUGGUACGCGAGCUGGGUUCAGAACGUCGUGAGACAGUUCGGUCCCUAUCCGUCGCAGGCGUAGGAAAUUUGAGAAGACCUGUCCUUAGUACGAGAGGACCGGGAUGGACGUACCUCUGGUGUACCAGUUGUCCUGCCAAGGGCAUGGCUGGGUAGCUAUGUACGGAAUGGAUAAGCGCUGAAAGCAUCUAAGCGCGAAGCCAACUUCAAGAUAAGAUUUCCCACCGCAAGGGUAAGACCCCAGAAAGACUAUCUGGUUGAUAGGUCGAAGGUGUAAGUGCAGCAAUGUAUUUAGCUUAUCGAUACUAAUAGGUCGAGGACUUGACCAAU
This 390-nucleotide ribosomal RNA is filed under the name Clostridioides difficile. RNAcentral's name for it is "partial 23S ribosomal RNA". It matches the Rfam family "Bacterial large subunit ribosomal RNA", at positions 2533 to 2925 of the family's 2925-position model. The record is from RNAcentral. Lineage: Bacteria; Bacillati; Bacillota; Clostridia; Peptostreptococcales; Peptostreptococcaceae.